This 1044-nucleotide long non-coding RNA is filed under the name Oryctolagus cuniculus (rabbit). Its description in RNAcentral is "lncRNA (ENSOCUG00000029847.1)". The record is from RNAcentral. Lineage: Eukaryota; Metazoa; Chordata; Mammalia; Lagomorpha; Leporidae.
CAGAGCAAGGGUCCCAGUGCAGGAGAUUUAUUUGGGAGAGUAUCCCAGAGAGGGAGCAAUGCGAUAGGGAAGGCACACGGUGAGUGCCCGGAUGCUGAUGGGCAAGUGGCUGCCGUGGGCCACUGGGGACUCGGAGAGACUGUGUAGAGCGCAGAGCAGACUUGGCGCAGCUAGGAGAGGGAAAUGGACGCCUUGCCCAGCAACUGUCCCCACACUGCUCUCUGCUGCUUCCCGGGGCAUUCUGGGGACUCUCAGGCCAGGAGGUGGGUACAUUUCUGAGUCAAAAGGGAGAGCCUACAGGCUUAUAAGGGAUAGAUUGACGCUAAGGGGCUAUGCCGGGACACCAAGAACCUGGCCACAGCUUUCUUGCCGCAAUCCCUUCUGGGGAUAAAUCCGGGUUGUCCCAGCAUCCUCAGUACAGUUCACCUGGUGCCUGGCAGCCUGGCACUGAUACGCCAUCCAGGGGGAGUGAUCUUCCAUACAGAAGCAGCUCGCUCACUCUCUCUCCCUCUCCCCCCCCCUUGCACUGUCUCCCUUAUUGCCUCAGGCAAACAGCCCUAGCCUCUCAGAGAAGAAAAAAAUAUGCAUCACAUCCCAGUCCAUGUGCCCGGGUAACCACAGAGGUCAAGUGUAGUGCUUCCGUCAUUCCUUCCAGGCUCUCAGGGAGCAGUCCCCUCCCCACCCACCCCCCAACACAGCUUAGCGCCCUGUUCUGGGUGGGGGAUGGGGGGAGACUAGAGGCUCCCAGCAAGGCAUCGGUUCUUGCCAUAGAAAUCUGCUCAUGGGAAAUCCAGCGUGUCCUCUCUCUAACCUUUUAUAUCCUCUUCUGGACUUCAAGUCCUUUAACUGGUUCUUUGAUAUUUCCUUUGAAAAAGAAUCUGCAUUGUGGUUUCCUGUUGGAAUGUCUUAGCUACUGUCUGGCGCCCCAGGUGAAACUGGCAGUUUCCGGUCCUUGCCCAGAGAUUCAGCUCUGGUGUGGGCGGAGCACAGCCUGCCCCCCCACCCCCACACUCCGAUAUCCCACCCCCACACUACUCGUGCCCU